This 341-nucleotide unclassified non-coding RNA is filed under the name soil metagenome. RNAcentral's name for it is "partial contains 5.8S ribosomal RNA, internal transcribed spacer 2, and large subunit ribosomal RNA". The stretch from base 1 to 120 matches the Rfam family "5.8S ribosomal RNA", at positions 35 to 154 of the family's 154-position model. The record is from RNAcentral.
GAUGAAGAACGCAGCGAAAUGCGAUAAGUAGUGUGAAUUGCAGAAUUCAGUGAAUCAUCGAAUCUUUGAACGCACAUUGCGGCCAUAGGUAUUCCUUUGGCCAUGCCUGUUCGAGCGUCAUUUACACCCUCAAGCCUAGCUUGGUGUUGGGCGUCUGUCCCGCCGUUUUCGCGCGCGGACUCGCCUCAAAGUCAUUGGCGGCGGUCGUGCCGGCCCCCUCGCGCAGCACAUUUGCGCUUCUCGGAGGCCCGGCGGAUCCGCGCUCCAGCAAGACCUUUCACGACUUGACCUCGGAUCAGGUAGGGAUACCCGCUGAACUUAAGCAUAUCAUAAGCGGAGGA